This is a long non-coding RNA of Bombus terrestris (buff-tailed bumblebee), 11686 nucleotides long. RefSeq lists it as uncharacterized. The record is from RefSeq and is a predicted model, not a curated record. NCBI's taxonomy places the organism in Eukaryota, Metazoa, Arthropoda, Insecta, Hymenoptera, Apidae. The transcript has 2 exons.
UGAAAUUUACAUAGUAAUUUGUUUCGUCUACUGAAGAUUAUGACGAGAGUACACCACUUUGAAUAUUUUAUAUAUCGUGUCAUAUACAUUCUGUGGGUUUCUGAACCUUUAAAUUUGUCACAAACAUAUGGAAAUCCGCAGUUUACUAAUGACAUUAGUUCGAUUACUGUUUGUUACUAUUAUAGUUUUCGAUGAAUGAAUGUGCAUCUUAGGAAUCACGCGUAAUUCGUGAAUUUGCCCGCGAAGCUAGAACUUCUGACAAAGUGUACGUACUGCGAAUUCGAAGAGGUAGAAAUGCGUUCAUAGUAUUUGGCAGGUGAAGCAAAUCUUUGCUUAAAUAUUAGAAAUAGGUUCUUUAUAUUAAGUUUUCCUAUAUAAUUAACGCGUAAUUAUACUUGUAACACCGUGAGCGUAAACGAGUAAACCGUAACACGUACAAGCUCUAUGAAAUAAUACCGUAACAGGAAGCUACAAUAUUCGCUGAGUAACCAAAAAACCGAAGAGGGUAGUUUUAUGACACUUCCCUCGAGACCGCCUACAAAACCGUACAGUUUCAAGAACAUUAGAAUUUUUGAGUUAUUAAUUAUGUCUUGUCCGAAAUUCAUAAAUAUGAAUAGCUAGCAUAAACUAUAUUUCAAUUAAAAUGUAUCUAUGACUUACGAUCUUUGGCAUAUUGUUGAAAUGUUAAUAUGAGAGAUAAGAUUAUUAGUCUAAUUUUAAACAUAAAAUUAUCGUUUUGACUUUAAGCCAGAAUGUAAUUAGUUUGUCUUUAAGCAUCGGUACAUAUUGUUUGUCUACCGAACGGUGUUGAUCGAUAGUUUUUUCUUUUUUAAUCGACGUUCGAUUGACGUGGAUGAAUCGCCCAAAGGAUACCAACGAAUUCAUAUAAAGAGGAAUUAAUCGAAACGGUCGCACGAACGCUCGAAAGAUUAACCGCAAAGUAUGGUUCCACGGUUCCUGUCGAUCGUUUCGGUACACGCAGAUUGAUAAUUCGUAAACAGAAGACGAUGUAAUGUUGAACACAAGAGGCACAGGUGUUUGAAAUUUACUCGACAAAGGCCCAAAACACACUUUGCAUAAAAGAGAAGAAUACUGAAAUAAGAAUGGAGCAUAUCACUGUGUCCUGAGUAAUUAUUCCGCCGGUCGUUUCAAUAGAACGACAGCCUACGGCACAAGAGAAUUAUCAGAACUUACCAAAUACUGUGUGUCAUUCAAAAACCGUAUGAAAAUGUGCUAAAUGUACUUUACACCGAUAUCCGAGAUUUCCAUCGAAUCGCAAGACACGACAUAAAUAUCCGUCAACUACGUUUCACAAAUUACUCUACUCCUCCUUCGUACCUAAUGCGUUCGUCUUCUUGUUUUCGCCAAUGUUCGCGGAGGAAGUCGCGCGCUAUACUGAGAUUACAUGUACACAAAUGGUUGACCGUUUGCACUGCUUACGUUCAAAGUGAACGAAACCUCGCGUAUAGUGGAUGUUUAUGCAUACAAAGUGAAAGAUAGAGGAGAAAGACAAGAGACGAGAAAGACGAUCGUUAAGCCGGAAUAACGAGCUUAGAGCGAGUGCCGAGACGAUCUACGUAGAACGUUCGCCGCCGCAGCUGCAUUUACUGCCGGUUUCGAAAAUCAUCGCACCCUGUUGAUAGGCAAUGACCGGCGAUCGGGAAUUUUCCGACUGAAAAUAUGGCUUCUUCGAUAACGAUAUCUGCAUAAUACACUUUCAGACCGUUUCCAUACACAGGAAGAACAUAGUACGACGGGGGAGAGGGAAGAGAAACGGUGCGUGCGAGGAGGAAAAAUGAUUCUGUCGUCUACAGUCUAGGAUAGUGUGCGUAUCUUUUUUGACAUUUAUUUUCGCGAUUUAUUGCUGUUACGACAAGUAAAGAAACCCUAAUUGAUUCUCCGUGUAGGAAGAUAUUGUUUAAUGGAAUAUAAUUGAUCUUUCUUCGAUAAAUAUUACCGCCCACAAACACGUACUCGUCCACUUUGGUCAAUUUGUAAUAACGUUAUCUGAAAUUGUAUAGAGGUAAAUGUGCCAACGAGGCAUUGGUAUAAUGGCAAAAAGCCACUUUCUGUCUUUCUAUGAAAUUAGUAGAUUAUAAAUUGAAAUCAACCGUUGGAAGACAGCAGUGAUUUAUUUUGCUAUCUAUUUAAUAUUAGCGACUGCGUUAACACCGACUUAUAAUCCAUAAAUUAUUGGCUCUAACGAUAAACCGCUUAUAGAUCGGCAAAGUAGUUCGACAAGGAUCGGCGAUCGAAAAUGCUAAUUUUAUCAUUGAACGCUGGUUCUCAACGAGUAAUUCGGUCGCGUCAUGAUAUUCUAUCGCACGUAGGUAUAAUAAUUAUAAAAGAUGAAAUCCUUGUUGAUUGGCCAUUUAGCCAGACUUCGUAAUUAAAAUACAGCUUGACAAAAAUAAACAGUUAACUUUCGGAUCUUUUUGUUUCGAAUGCCAAUAUAUGUAUGUGUAAUACUUAAACCGCGGUAUUUGCGCGUUUAUGUGAAGCGCAAAUAUGCAAAAAUGCAUAAUGAGCUCGUACACGGACGCUAAAUAUAAAAAUAUCAAAAGCGAAACACGGCCAAUUCAGUGGGAAUUCCUUACGCGUGUUUGAAAAAAUAUGAAAUUGCGAUAACCAAUUGCGGCAAUUUAUUUUUAGAUAAUACACGUAACAUACGGUGUAAUUAAAACGGAUGAACGGUAAAAAUGUUCGUCUAAACAAGCGGCGAUUUAUUUUCGUUUAGCAUAUCCAAUAUAGGAUGGAAUAUUAAAUAGCAUUAAAAUAAAUAAAUACUAGUAAUGCUUUUAAUUGAAACAAAUGACAGUAAUUUAUUUUUAUACUUAAUAUAUGUAACGCACGAUGUAGCAAUAUUAAAAUAGAUAAAUGUUAAAAAUCUUCGACUAAGAAAGAGUCACGUCGAUUUAUGUUUAUUCAAAGCGUAUAUGUAACGUGGCCACGUUAAAAUACGAUAAAUAAAUGUUAAAAAUCCGCAAGAGAAAAUAACCGUGGCGAUUGCUUGGAGAAUAAUUUGCGAUCGACGGGUUCGGUAUUCGUCGUAAUGCACGUAGUACACGUAAAGCACACUAUGGCCACGCGACUCGUCGAAACGAUCAAAUCGCGAGUACGCGUCUAUAUCCCGGACAUUUUUGAUCUCGUGGGGAUGUUAUAGGGUGCGACAUGGUGAAUCAGCAAUAGGGGGCAAUGAAAAAAGGAAGACGUGGAAGUAGCGAGACUCGACCGAAGGAAUACGAUCGAAGGCAAACAGGAACGCGAAAUAAAAUUACGGCUGUGACGUCGUUUAAACGAAUUUACGAUAUCCUCGGAUACGUAUUAGGAAACUCAUCGGCCGUCUCGCUAUCUUUGCAUCGUACGAAAGGGCGUAGCGACCGGCUUGCGUUUUCAAUCGAUACAAACUCUAACAAACCGUCAUAAAUAGGCAGAUUGCGAAGACGUGAAAUUAUCAACGGGGCAAAGUGAACGCGAGAAAGACAAAUGGAGGAAGAAAGGAAGAGAAGUAAAGGAAAGAAAAGAAACCGGGGAGCAAAUGUAGAGAAGACAAAAAGAAGGGAGAGCGGAGAGAAACUGCUUUCUCCGUUACGGCGAGACGCCUUCGUAGACAGACAAAUUGCAAAAAUAAGAAUUAUUAACGGAAAGAGAAAUGAAAUCACUGGGAAAAAUAAAAAGGAAAAGGAGAAAUGGGAGAAGAUAAAGGGGGAGGAAAAGGGAGAAUUGUGUGUGUGUGUGUGUGUGAGAGAGAGAGAGAGAGAUAGAGGCAAAGGAUAGAAAAGGCGAGGAAAAGAAAGAACAGAGAAACUGCCUUCUACGCUACGGCGAGACAUCUCGGUAGACAGGAAAAUUGCAAAAAUAAGAAUUAUUAAAAAGAAAGAGAAAUGAAAUAAUUAGGAAGAAGAAAAAAAAAGAGAAAUGGAAGAAGAAAAAAACGAGGAAGAAAGAAAGAGAGCGAGCGAGCGAGAGGCGAAGGACGGAAAAGGCGAGGAAAAGGAAGAGCGGAGAGUGAGUUCGAAGGAGAAACUGCCUUCUCGGUUACGGCGAGUCUGGCGAUCGAGUAAUCGCAUUAUACCUGGUAAUUACAAGACCGCUCGCAGUGCUACGAGACAAGCCUGUAGCUCGAGCAAAGUACCGAGCAGGGUUAUGCAGAUUGCUUUAUAACCUUGUUACCGAUCUAUUAACCUCGCGAGCUUGAUACCGGAAACUGUUUUUCUUCCGAACCGUUAUCAAAAACGUCUCGUUCCUGCCAAACAUUCAGAAAUACCACGCUCCAAUCCGAAAGAAUAUCGGCUAGAACGUCGGACAGCACGAUCAACAUUUCUUCCUUAUGUUUUAAUUUGAAUCGUUAUCGUCGUAGCCGACGAAGUAAAAUGUCAAAGCGGAGAACGAAGAUUUCGCAACCGUGCGGUCGAAUCUAAAGCCAAACCUGCGUGAGACACACGGAAAUGAGGGUUGAGCCUGGAGUGUGAAUCGAAACCGAGCUUUAAACUCGACUGGAGCCUCGAUUAGAAUGCUACGCGACCCCGAGCAAUCGCGAGAAACAGACGAGACAAACGGAAAUUUAACCAGAAAAAGGAAAAGCCGUGCACUCGUCUUCUUUUAUCGAAAGAGUAGAAAAGGGAGGAACGCGAAUCGAACGCGAAUCCGAUCUUUUCUCUCGUCAUUGAUCGUCGUUCGGAGCAGAGGUAGGGCGUCGACGAUCAAAAUUCUUUCUCGUCCUUCUCCUCCUUCUCCUGUUCGUUCAUCGAUCCACUGGUUCGCGAUCGUCGCUCCGCUUUUAUCUAAACUUUCGUCAAUCUAAACUCUCGCGGAACGAACAACGCGUCGAUCGUCGUUAUCGUUCGCGAUCAGUUGCCACUCUGUUUUCGUCGAAAUCUUCGAAAAUCUAAGCGUUUGUACCGUAAAAGGAACGACUACGCUUGUGCAUAACAACUACGUUACGUUAAUGACGUAUUUGUGCUACUGAACAUUUUUCACCGUGUUGAUGACAGCCUCUGUGUUAUAUCUAUUCAUCGUUUAAUCGUUCUUAUCGAUAAUGACUCCAUUUUCUAACACGAUGCUUUCUUUUCGAACUGUCGUUCCUCCGAGCUUUCUUUUCUCCUCCACUGCAUGCACAGAGAAACAAAAACGAAAACGAAACUGAAAAGGCAAACGAUCGAGAGAAACGCGAAAGGGACUAUAUGGAAGAAUAUAUCGAUGUCUCGCUGCAAAAAUACCGUAUGCCCGCUUCCCGUCGAAUUUGAGCUUUCACACGCAGGAAAAUAGUUCCUCGUCGGUUUCUUUGCGCUGUACAGAAAUCGCAUUUACAUCUACGUGGUAAACAUUUUUGUUCAUUACACUUACUGUCAUCAUCGUGUUUCGUCUUUUCGUCAUUUUCUAUUCGGCAAAGGAAUCGCGACAUUGUACAAUUUGCAACCAAUUUUACAAUAUCAUCGACGAGAACAAAUGCAACGACGCAGAGAGUAUCCGUUUAACUUAUUUUUCUGGAAAAUGCCAGAGAUGGACGCGCGAUAGUUACGCCGCGAGCCAUCGAUAUUAUGGAAAACGAUGAGCGAAAUUUCUUACCUAUGGCGUCGAAGAUGGAUCGGUAGGACAAAGUCGAUCGAACGUGCGAGCGGACGAUGGAGAAGUCGGCCCCUCGGAAUUGACGAAUCGCUGGUGAACGAGACGCGGAGCCGGUUAGCGUGGAGUAGCCGUGUUUCCAGGUGGAAGCGUCGCGGCCGAUUGAGAGCGACGAUGGUGGCGAGGGUGCAUCUCACCCCGAUUUUUCCGGCUCGGGGCUCGGUCGCACUCUCUGCCCACCGUCGUCCGCGUUCGCUUUCGCGUUCGCGUUCGCGAUCGCGGCCACGUCCACGUUCGCGCCUCUGCCACUUCUUUACCCGUCACCUCUCUUCUCGAUCCUCGAAGAUCCAAAGUCCUUUCGGUCGGACGCGAAAGCGCAUGGUCCACGGUGCCUCCGGAAGCCCCCACCGUUCUCCUUCGCUCCCGCCCCUUUAACGCUCCUCUUCGCCCUGUUUCGAACGCUUCCGCGUUAACCCUGUCCCUACCCACGCACCUCAUUCAUCCCUCCUUCGAAAGCUACGGUUCUCCUCGCCACCGUCGCUUCUCCGACUCGUCGUUCCAUCCUUUCUUCAUCCACUUUUUAAUACUAGUUAUCCUACUAUUCAUUUGCGGUAGUUUAGUCUUUUUCUUUUCAUUUCGUUUUUUCUUUUUUUUCGGUAUCUUACCUUCGAUCGUCGUAUCCUUCUUCGUUCUCUAAUCGUACUGGUUGCUAUUUCCUUACCUUUGCUUUUUUCCUUUCCUCUCCGUUAUUCUUUUUCUUCCUUCUUUUGCGUAUAUUUUACCCAUUGCGUUAUCUUUCUUCGCUUUUUAAUUACGCCAGUUAUCAUAUAGCGUUUCUUAGGUGUUCUUAUUCUUCUCAUUCCAUUCUUCCGAGUACCUCGAUGACUUAUGUUUCUUUUCGUGCUCAUCGAUCGCGAUCCGAUUCCACCUACGCACACCCUUGCUCCGUUUCUAAACCUACGUACCAAGUAUAUGAAUAUGCGCGUGCACGUGUCGGUGGUUGUCGUUCGCUGGAAAAUCGCCUUAACGCGUCGAUCCGAAGUAAAACCGAAAUCGCGUAGCCACCGAGAGCUUUUUCUUUCUUCUUAACACGUUACGCGUUGGCGUCAUCCGCCUCUGCCAGUCACUGUACGGUCAUCUGCCAUCAGCACCCUCGACGCGUUAAACUGGUAAGCCUCUAAGCCAUCGUUCCAGGGAAAUAUGCCUUCUGAUGAAAUGUCCUUCCGAAGAAUGAAACAUUCAAAGACCAAGAUUCUGUUGGGUCGGCAACUAAGUGAUCGCGGACUUUGUCAUUAGGUGGUAUUGACAAAAUCCGCAAUCGUUUAAUUGCCAACCCAAUAUCGUACAUACGCACAAUGUGUAUACGCUAAAGGCGCAUUAUAUUUGACUAUUUAGCCCUAUCGAGUUUAUCAGAACGCGUAUUCUUACGAGCAGACUGCGAAUGUUCGUGCGAUUUCACAUUUUUACGAAUACGUAUAACUAAAGAAACGAAACAGCGCAAGAUGGGCUUGUCUCUGCCCUCGAAUCUACCCUGUGUAUUUUAUAUACUUUCUGUGUUCAAGUUCGCGGAGAAAUCCGCAGUCUAUUUACGAGUGUGUGCGUUUCAGUUUUCAGAUGCUCGGUCCGUCCGAACGAUAAUUUGUCAAGCCGCCGUAAUUCGUGUAAUUGUUCGGCGCGGUUUCAACGAUUAACGCGAAAGAAGAGAAAGCUGGACAUGGGAAAAAAAACAAGAGAGAAAAGUUGUGAUAUUAGCGUAUUAAUGGUGGUGACUGGAAAUAAAGGCAGACGGCGAGAAACUCGUAAUGAGAAGAAUCGAAGGCGUCGAGGGGGAAAGACGAGGUAUUCGCCGGGAGAACGCUAUUAAGAUUAAGAUGCAAGGGGUGUGAUAGAGGAAUGGAAAAGCGGAUAGUGGACGAUGGGAAUGCGGGCCGAGGUCGAAAGGAACGCGAAGCCUUCGUAGAAUUCUCGAUACGUGAACGCGUAGAAGCGUCGCUUUAUUAAACCGGCUUUUAUCACGUUCCAGAAACGGAGUCUCCAGUCUUUUUUCAGCCACGCGAGGCUCCAGAAAACGCGAUCGAUCGUUUUCUUGCGCGGUGGCGCUCGUGACACUCGGCUGAAAAAUUCGUCCGUAUAGCCGUGAAAUCGCGAAUGCGCGAAGCACAGAUGGAAGAAGAUCAAACUCGUGCUCGUUUCGUAUAAAUUUAUAACAAGCUUUAGUAUAAACGAGUAAUCUGUUCGUAAACUCGUUUACAACGAUCGAACAAGCAUUUUGGAGCCUUUCGUGGAGCUACGUCUUCGUCAAAGAAAGAACGAGGAACGUUUUUUGUCCCAAGUAAGAGGCGUCAAUUUCUAAAGAAAUUUCGUCCACGUUGAAGCAACGCGAUUAGCAGGCAGAUAUUUGCGCUUUGUUCCAACUUCGAAGCAUCGUGUGUUCCCAGCGACCAGCGAUACGCCGAACAUUUGUUUCCGUCGCAGGGUGUUGUGGCGCGUGAUUUCCACUAUUCUUCGAUCCUCACCACCUCGAAUGGAAACAGGCAACGAGCAACGCCUUCCGUUGAACCGGCAACGGAGACGCGAACGAACACGGAGGAGGAACGUUAGAGAUGGAACAGCAACGUCGACGGAAAGUUGCUCGUUGUUGCUCGAGCGAAGGCGCAGCUUACGAAAGGUGGCGAGACUCGGUCGUUUGAUAGCAACGGUGAACGACACCGAUUAAAGUGGCGUAGCUACCGUGCGAAUCGCGCCUCCCGUGUUACCACCUGUGGAGCCGAACGAGAAAGCGAUAUAGAAAUUCCAAGCAGGAAAGCGAGUUCACUUGUUGAUUUUAGGAAACUCUAGGGAAAACGCGCACCAGCUGCAACUUGUUGCUAAACCGGCACGCUUGCACGAGCAACUCGUUCGAUCUGCUGCUGCUGCUUCUCGGUCAAUUCCUAUUCGUCUCGACUGGUUCGCACGGUUGCUCGAUUGGAUCGUCGACAACGGCCAAAGACAUUUCGCACAGAUAGAACGAGAUAGAAAGCCUGUCGGCGACAGACGCCCCUCUAUCUCCCUAUUCCUAUCUGCUGUGCGUAAUUAAUUCAAGAGGAACGGAUAGCGACACCAAUAGAAGGCAGCGAUACCGACGAUCGUCUUUUACACGGGUUCUUCGUUUUUCCCUUUAGCCUGUUCGUCGAUCGUUUUCGUCGGACCAGCGGUUCUUAACGUUUUGUUUACCACCGGAGUAUUCUCACGAAGAGGGCACGCGGUUGUGUCGAAAAAUUCGGAGUUGGUUUUUACACUUUUUUUAAAGAUCGUAAGACGGUGUGACGGAAAUGGUAUUCUGAAGUGCUGAAAAGUGGCAAUGUUUUAUAACGCUGAAUACGAAUGCGUGCUUUUAUCUUAGGGAAAAAUUAACUGAAGACAUUACGCGCUUCUCUAGAAACUACGUCUCUCGACGUUGCAGCCACUAAAUUUUCCAAACUCUGCAUUCGAUCAACUUGAAAUUUUCGCACGCUAUUCCGCUUAACGUUACGUAGAACGUGGCGUGAUAUUAAUCCGUGGAAUUUGUAUAAAUGUUUCGAAGGUGGUUUUCUUCAGCGGGAAGUGAAAUAUCGUCGCUAACGAGCCGUCAUUUUCCUAUUUUUCAAAAUUAAGGAAGAAUAAAGUACACUACGUCGAAGAUGAUCUUACUUUUUUGUAUAAGGUCGCACAAAAAUGUCUCGCUUUUUAAGAUUCGGUUAUAUUUAACGCUGAAUGCGAGCAAACGAGGUUCCACCGGAUUUGGAGCCAGGCAAUGUCGUCAGCCACUUUGCUAUUUUGUAAUUUUAUGUAAGAACAAAAAUACCAACAUAGAGUUUAAAGCAUCCUAUAAAAAUCCUUUAUCAAGCGCUCAUACGCUUUCUACGCGGAUUGCGAAUUUUUAUUUCGCGGUCUAGUCGUUACAGUGGUAUAAAAAUUUAAAAAAGUUGCGUAUGACGUAUAUAAUAAUAAUUCGUAAAAGAGUCCCAUGGUAAAUGCAUCUAGCGCGAGAAAGGUCGCGAGUCCGCAUCAGACCAACUGUACGGUCGUCUCGUGCUUGCUCGUUUCUUCUUUUCCAAACGCUCUCUCGUUCGUCUUCGCAAUCUGUCGUCGGUAAGAGAAGGUCUGGAUGCGAUUCAAGCGACCCAAGUCAGGACAUCACGUUGACAGUAAUCGUAAGAAUGAUGCCUCCGGAUAACGAUCUCGUCGAAAUCCUAGAUAUCGCGGGAUUACAGAAAAAUUCACUUAACUGGUAAUUGACGAACAAUUCACCCGUUUAUUUAUUUCUUCUCUCUUCUCGGUCUCGUCUAUUUUGUUUAUUUAUUUAUUUAUUUAUUUAACUAGCACUAAGCGUAAGUGUAGCGUAAGCGAGGCGUAAAAGACCGAGCACUAAUUUCAAGUUACGACUUUUCAAAUUUCACACGAGUUUUCAGCGUGGAUGCUUUAAGUUGCGUUCACAUCGAUCCGAUAGCAUCACAGUCUAGCGACCCGAUCCAGCGCUUUCGUUGCAGCAAGCGAUGCAAUCCAACGACAGCAUCGAAAAGCUGGGUUUACGUCAGUCCAGUCGCUGGUCCCAGCGAUUACGUUGCACAAUGGUUUGACUGGAAUUCGUCGAUGUCCACUUUGUUCUAGAUUUCUUCGAACCGUUGAAUGCGGUAGACUACGGUGGCAGUGGAUUCGCGUAAAAAUCGGAUAAAACAGUAGACGUACGCCUCAGCCAGCGUUGGAUACUGAGCCACAUCCAGAUUCCAGUAACGCUGGAACGUCGCAUUCUCGAUAGCGGUGGGAAUAAACGCUGGUUCGAAGAGCGGACUUUCGGUGCAGUUACUGGACUGGAUUGUUUAUUAAAAUGGUAACACGGUCGACGAAUCGAUCGAGGAUUUGAAAAAGUAGGGUCAGGCCCGCUAUGGUUCUACGAUGUUCGAGACGAACACAUUAUCGUUGUUAUUUAUUUAUUUAUUAGCUUGGAUAAAAUUCCCUUGGUGUAUACGAUGCAGAGGAAUGGGAGACAUAGACGAAACAUACGGUAUAAAAGUAUAAAACGGAAGAAAAAGUAAACGUAAAAUUUAGACGCAUGUAUCGACAAAGCUGGCGAACCAAGGACUGUUCAAAGCGUUAAGAAUAUUUUUAUAAUUAUGAAAAGUUCUGACUGGCGGUUCGUUCAUUUCAGAGGCGUCGUAUCACGAGAAUUUCCUUCUCAAGCAAUUUUCUUGUUGUUUCCUCGCCUUCGUCUCUAUCCAUCCUUGCGUCAAAAGCAAAGCAGAACUCGGCUUAACGACCUUUCGAAGACGUCGCGAGUAACGACUCGCCCGUAGCCGAAAAUGUAGUAGUCCAGAUCGAAGAAAAGAGUAACAAAAAGAAAAAAAAGGAAGCAAAAUAGCGAACGAUAAGAUAGACGUGAUCAUCGAUAGGGAGGCCAAUAGGGUUCCUCUAACGCAGCUUCGAGUAUCGUCUACGAACAGGAACGUGGUUUUCUUUCUUCUGGCCAAUAUAAGAAGCAGCGCGUCGGUUCGCGCGUACCUGACCGCUAAAGGCGCAUUUACACCAGGCGAACAAGGAUAUUCGCUCAUCCGGUUUAGCUAGCCGUAAACUCCUUGGGGACCAUAACAAUUUAGAUUUAAAUUACUUCAUUUGGAAUUUUUCAUUUACUUUAAUUUUAUUACCAGUAUGUACCUGAAUUAAAUUACCUAUAUAAUUACAUUAUAAUGAAUAUAAUGAUAAAUAUAAUUUAUAGCGUAAAUCACUACAGCCUAAUGUCUGUAUCUGAUUUAAGGGUUGAUAAUAUUAAUUGAAGGAUAUUAUAUAUGUUAUUAUUAUUAUGUACAGGAUGAGUCAGUAAAAUCUAUCGCCCGGAAAUAAUUCUUCAUCUAUUGACGUACCAUCGGGAAACGUUUAAAGCGAAAUUUUUUUAAUACUUCGUAUUUUUUUCGAUACUAAGGCAACCUUGAGUCUCUCGAACGACAAGAACGACGUAAACUCGAGAGAACUGUUUUUCAUGCAUUAAAUUUGACAAAUUAAAGUUAAGAUACCUCUGUUAGAUCGAUGGUUUUUCCAUAUAAAUAGGUCGAUACUUUUAUACAGAGAAUGUUCAGCUGGAUCGACUAAUGUUGUAAAUAAUAUACGA